Molecule: non-coding RNA, 48 nt
Filed under: Trichobilharzia regenti
Lineage: Eukaryota; Metazoa; Platyhelminthes; Trematoda; Strigeidida; Schistosomatidae
Source: RNAcentral
AGCUAGCUGACGAGUCCCAAAUAGGACGAAAUGCGCGUUAUCCUGGAU